AUAUCACAAAGUUGAAAACUAAACUGUAUUUUAAGAAUUUAAAUCAAUGAAGCUACCUGGACGUAUGAUUUUUUUUGUGCAAGAGUUGGUGAAGUUGAAGAAAGAUUCAAAUGCAUGGAAGAUUGUAAAAAACCCAAAUGCUAAGAGUAAUAUUGCAAUGAUUCGUAGCAUAAUGGAUGGUUGCUCGACUGAAGCAAGGAAGUGUUCAACCACCUAGUGUGUUGAGUAGUGUUAACUAUUUUGGGCUUUUAUAGUUUUGGGCUUUUAUAAUUUUGGGCUUUGACUUAAGGUCCAAGUUAACCUAAAUCUAUAAAUAGAGGGAGUAAGCCUUAUUUUGUAACAGAGGUGAAUAGAGUAUUCACAACAUAUUGUAUUCAUAGUAUUCUCCUUCAUCGUUCUUUACUUUCUUUCUUUCUC
Long non-coding RNA from Lathyrus oleraceus (garden pea), 417 nucleotides. RefSeq lists it as uncharacterized. The record is from RefSeq and is a predicted model, not a curated record. NCBI's taxonomy places the organism in Eukaryota, Viridiplantae, Streptophyta, Magnoliopsida, Fabales, Fabaceae. The transcript has 2 exons.